UACGUAGGGCGCAAGCGUUAUCCGGAAUUAUUGGGCGUAAAGAGCUCGUAGGCGGUUUGUCGCGUCUGCCGUGAAAGCCCGGGGCUCAACCCCGGAAGCGCAUCCGAUACGACGGCGCUCGAGUACGGGAGAGGAGCGCGGAAUUCCCGGUGUAGAGGUGAAAUUCGUAGAUAUCGGGAGGAACACCAGUGGCGCAGGCGGCGCUCUGGACCGUGACUGACGCUGAGACGCGAAAGCGUGGGUAGCAAACAGG
This 253-nucleotide ribosomal RNA is filed under the name uncultured bacterium. RNAcentral describes it as "partial 16S ribosomal RNA". It matches the Rfam family "Bacterial small subunit ribosomal RNA", at positions 524 to 776 of the family's 1533-position model. The record is from RNAcentral.